UCUAUAAGAUGUUCUCCCUGGAGAUGGGUUUGGUUUGAGACUGCUGGAAAUGGCCUGGCUCUAUCAGAAGCAGCAUUCCUGCCUAUCAUGUAAAGGAAAUGUCGUUGCCAGCUAAGUGGUUUGCUUUGGAACGUGUGCCCCAGCGCUUGUUGUGUUUGGAAGGCAUUCCACAGAUGUGAACCCCAGGUCACUGAUUUGUCUUGCAUCUGAAGGGUUCCUCUCUCACUGAGAAGCAGAGAGGCCACAUUCUUUUAACUCAAGAUAACCAGUCCCUCCAGAAAGGCCCAGCUGGGGCACCGGUCAAACGGUUAGUUUAGCAGCCCUGGGGAAUAUAGCACGGAUCUCUUCGAUGAUCAGCAGGGGAAUGAAGACUUUGCAACAUCUCAUGAAGAAUGGCUGGGGACUUCAGAUUUGAUAAGAAUGCAGACAUAAUGGCUGGAACUUGAGCAACCAUUUUGGAUCCUGGAGGUGGAAGCCACACACUGAGACUGUGGAACCCAAGACAGGAUCACGAGACCAUUCAAAUCUCUCCAUUCCUUCAAGAGCUGCUCUUCCUGCUGACGCAAUUGAUGUUGGGGAUUUUUUGCCAUUGAAAGCUGAACUUGACACAACUUACACUUUCUUAAAGGAAACACUUAUAAAUCCUGCGCCCCUGGCAUCAUCUCACUCAUCUCCAGUGACGAUGUCUGCUACUGCCAAGCGACCAGCUCAGAUUGGAUUAUGACUUUAUGAAAUAAAAAGCAUGCAGGAAGAGUUAACAGUACAAUUAAAUUGUUUUGAUGGGGGAUUUUCUUAUCAGUUGAAUUUUGUUUCAGCUCAAGUAGCCGUGGGUUUUUAAAAAUUGUGUGAUAGCUUGAUGUGUUCAGGUAUCUAUGUCUCCUCGAAUAAUGAAAUAACCAACUUUCUUCCCCCUCCAAGUUUUAUUUAUUAUCACAGUUGCUCAUUUUUAUGUAACAUAUUUUUAAAUGUUAAAGAAUGACACAUUUUAGGUAAUUUCCUUCAGACUUAAAAAAAUCAAUAAGCCAUUUUAGUCUCUAUCUAUCAAAGUUGUUUCAUACUUGUCUAUUUUAAAGCAGGACUGCAAUACUUUAAUAGGAUUGAGAGAGCUAUUUGAAAUGUAUGCCAAUGAUUCCUGUCAUUUCAUGGCAGCCCUGCCAUGGUUCACUGAGCCCCCUCUUCUCUCUUGUCAGCUCAACUGAAGACAAGCAUUUAGUUGCAAACUUUAAGCAGGUUGUGCAAAACAGAAAUGAUGUGACUGCUUCUCCUCCUGCACAAUAAUGUCACUCCUGGUCAAUGUGAGAAGGUCAGGUUGCUCCUUGUAAAGCUACAUGAUACCACUUGCCCAUUUGAACAAGUUAAGUUAACUGCUGCAUCUGGUCCCUGCAGGCAUUGAAAACGCAUCCUUUUUAGCAAGCCUGCUUUUGAUAAGAAAGUCGAGCAUGUGUGCUGGGAGGAUGUCUGUGGUGCGUUUAGGCACUUUUUAAGGACAGUUCCCACACCAGUACAGCAGGUAACUUAUUUAGUAUAAGCUGAAAAACUUCAAGGUAAUGGCUGUUUUGACCUUCAAAAUAGACUCCUUUUUUGUUUGUGUGGUAGGACCCAAGAGUGACGCCCAUCUUUGAUGCUGACAGAAUUUAAAACAAGGCCAUUGCCCUGCAUUUUCUGCCUUGUAGCACACAAAAGUAAAAUUGUAUGUCAGGCCGAGAUGUCGGGGAGCUGACAAGAUGCCCCAGUGACAUUUCAGCUAGAAAGAGCAAGUGUCUUGCAACCAAGUGGUCAAAUAUCAAAUAAUAGGUCAAGCAAGAAGGAGCUGAGUUCUAACCACAAAGAGGUUUCUGGGAACUUACUUGACAAGCUUUUGGGUGCUUUGUGGCUUGACAAAGUGAUGUUCUGUUGGGUAUCGCUAGACAGACGGUUCUUUAUUGCCUUCAGAAGAUCAGACAUUGACAUUGAUCAAACUCUUUAACCCUUAAAGGUUAAAUCCUUGCAGUCUGCAUCAUAGUAAGUGAAGAACAAAAGGCUAUUUGUAAUACGUUAUUUGUUUUUGUUUUAAUCAUUUAACUCCCCAGUGAUAUUAACUUCUGAUGUGAGCUAUACUUUCUGGCAGAGUUUUGAUACAAAAAUCCAUAUUUUAUAUUAUGUUUCAUUAUGGAGUUUCAUUAGAGAUACAUUAGAAAAUAACAGUAUGUAUUAUGGAAUCUAUAUUGUCUUAACUUUACAGUGACAUUUUAUUCAAAUAUACCCAAUUUUUAAGAAUUUAUUAAUUGGCCUUGGUAAAUAAAAUUGGUGUACUAUUUACAUCUUAGCCAAAUCAACCAAGUGAUUUACACCAUCUGAGAUAACACAGCACUAUUACUGUCAUACUGUGUAUUCUCAUAGUACUGGGCCAAUAUAAUAAGCUUUAUAUAAAUCUUUAGAAAGCUAUUUCUAUGAAGUAAAAUUACAUCUUUAACCAAAUUUCUCUUAGUUCUUUCCUUGGAGUUCUUUUUAUUAACCAUUCUGGGUUUUGAAUAUUAAAGAACAUGCCCUGUGUAAUGUAAUAUAACAUGUAAGAAAUUCAACUUGCAAAUUUAUCAUAACACAGAAAAUGCUGUUGUUUUUAUAUAGAUCAUAGAAUAAUUUCUGCAUGUUUCAAAAUACUUUGUUUUGCCGUUCCAUAUAGUAAUUAAGAUAUUGGCAAUACAGGAAUCAAAUACGGUUCAUAUGACAUCAUUGAGCUUCCAAUUCUCACACUGUAGAAAAACAAUGUCCCCUUACAUCACAUAUAUGUCUGGUAUGUGUCUGUAUGUUUAUGUUAAAUCUGUUUCCAUAUCCUAGUAAUUAAAGGGGAAGGAGCACCUUUGUAAAUUUUGCCUUGGACAGACCUUGGUCCUCUUGCCUUAAUUUUACAGUCUGUUAAUGGGAUAACACCAGAAAUAAAUGUAUAUGUCUCUC
Molecule: non-coding RNA, 2934 nt
Organism: Odocoileus virginianus texanus
Lineage: Eukaryota; Metazoa; Chordata; Mammalia; Artiodactyla; Cervidae
Source: RefSeq, a predicted model, not a curated record